UACGGGGGGGGCAAGCGUUGUUCGGAAUCACUGGGCGUAAAGGGUGCGUAGGCGGCCGCGCAAGUCUGGCGUGAAAGCCCCGGGCUCAGCCCGGGAAGGGCGCUCGAAACGGCGCGGCUCGAGUGCCGGAGGGGAGAGUGGAAUUCCGGGUGUAGCGGUGGAAUGCGUAGAGAUCCGGAAGAACACCGGUGGCGAAGGCGGCCUGCUGGGCAGUAGCUGACACUGAGGCGCGACAGCGUGGGGAGCAAACAGG
RNAcentral lists this ribosomal RNA (253 nucleotides) under uncultured bacterium. RNAcentral's name for it is "partial 16S ribosomal RNA". It matches the Rfam family "Bacterial small subunit ribosomal RNA", at positions 524 to 776 of the family's 1533-position model. The record is from RNAcentral.